GGGAUUGUGGCUCAGUGGUAGAAUACUUGCCUAGCAUAUAUGAGGCCCUGAGUUCAAUCCUCAGCAUCACA
This 71-nucleotide transfer RNA is filed under the name Marmota monax (woodchuck). Its description in RNAcentral is "tRNA.Ala". The record is from RNAcentral. Lineage: Eukaryota; Metazoa; Chordata; Mammalia; Rodentia; Sciuridae.